Molecule: transfer RNA, 74 nt
Filed under: bacterium
Lineage: Bacteria
Also listed under: 1 other name
Description: tRNA-Asp
Rfam family: tRNA
About the family: Transfer RNA (tRNA) molecules are approximately 80 nucleotides in length. Their secondary structure includes four short double-helical elements and three loops (D, anti-codon, and T loops).
Source: RNAcentral
GGACCUGUAGCUCAGUUGGUUAGAGUACCUGCCUGUCACGCAGGGUGUCGCGAGUUCGAGUCUCGUCAGGUCCG